Molecule: long non-coding RNA, 335 nt
Organism: Esox lucius (northern pike)
Lineage: Eukaryota; Metazoa; Chordata; Actinopteri; Esociformes; Esocidae
Source: Ensembl
GAGCCAGGAAUGUUGUGGUCAGCUGGCUGGGGUACAGGGCCUACAUCAUCGGCAUCUACAGUAUGGUCUCUACACCUUAUACCACACCAGUCCACUGAACAGGGCAAACGGCUUUUGGGCACACCACUGGUUCCCACCAAAAUUGGCACGACCCAAUGGAUUCAAUCUGCUGAUGCCCAAAAUGUCCAAGGUGUCUGUGGCUUCCUGCAUGACACACUAACACACCUGAGCAACCUGUCUGUAGAGGUCCACCAUCACUACAACAGAAGCCCACAGCUCCUUGUGCUCAACAGAGUUAUUCUAGAUUUUGGUGACCCUGAAAUGGAAACCCUGGA